GUAGGUGGCAAGCGUUGUCCGGAAUUAUGGGCGUAAAGCGCGCGCAGGCGGGUCCUUUAAGUCUGAUGUGAAAGCCCACGGGCUCAACCGUGGAGGGUCAUUGGAAACUGGGGGACUUGAGUACAGAAGAGGAAAGCGGAAUUCCAAGUGUAGCGGUGAAAUGCGUAGAGAUUUGGAGGAACACCAGUGGCGAAGGCGGCUUUCUGGUCUGUAACUGACGCUGAGGCGCGAAAGCGUGGGGAGCAAACAGGAUUAGAUACCCUGGUAGUCCACGCCGUAAACGAUGAGUGCUAGGUGUUAGGGGGUUUCCGCCCCUUAGUGCUGCAGCUAACGCAUUAAGCACUCCGCCUGGGGAGUACGGCCGCAAAGGCUG
This 373-nucleotide ribosomal RNA is filed under the name uncultured organism. RNAcentral's name for it is "partial 16S ribosomal RNA". It matches the Rfam family "Bacterial small subunit ribosomal RNA", at positions 527 to 896 of the family's 1533-position model. The record is from RNAcentral.